AAGCAGUGAUCUCGGCACGUGCUACACUACCCAGGCUCAAAUCACAUAUGUUUGACCAAUGGCUCCACCUAGUGGUGGUUUCUAUAAUAUAACCUUAAGCGUUUUAAGGAUAAAAUGGUGUAAAACCAAAUAUAGGUCUAAAUGAUAUUAUAAUUGUUACUACUUAACUGCAUGGAAUGUUGGGAAUCUUGCAGGGAAUAACCUUGCAAGGCAUGUCAUCCUCUCUUCCUCUCCCUCCCUCUGUUCAUAAUCUGUGUUGAAGGACAGGGAGGCACUUGCCUCAUUGCUGCUGACAAAUAAUAGAGGAAGUCAGUGACUGAGUGCUGCAUAAAAGGACAUAAACAGUACCUGCUGGACUUAGUGUGGAGCAGCUGCGGAGUGAAGAACAACAGGUUGGACUCAGUGGUGAGCCUCGCGGAGGGCUUGCUCUCAUUGGCCGUUCAGCUGCAUGCACAGUGUCAGGAGGAGAGCGCGCAGAUGGCCGCUCUAGCCGUGCAGCUGAGAGAGGAGAGCCAGUCUUCUUAGCCAAAGCGACGUGCUUCAACAGGACAUGGCUGAGAUGUGCAAAGCACUGGAAACUCUGAUGGACACUAAGGUGGCCUUUGAAGCCAAAGAGAGACAGGCUCGCAAACUAAGCAAGCAGCUCUGAAACACAGUGGAGAUUUUACCACUUAAAUUCAAUGAAAUUGGCAUUGACAGAAAAAAAUUGUGGUCUUCUAGUUCACAUCAUCAAAUGUGAUGUGGAAUGUAUUUUCUUUUUAUUAAUUAAAAUCUAAUCCUGAAACAACAACAA
Carassius carassius (crucian carp) is the source of this 793-nucleotide long non-coding RNA. RefSeq lists it as uncharacterized. The record is from RefSeq and is a predicted model, not a curated record. Lineage: Eukaryota; Metazoa; Chordata; Actinopteri; Cypriniformes; Cyprinidae. The transcript has 2 exons.